This 754-nucleotide ribosomal RNA is filed under the name uncultured Burkholderiales bacterium. RNAcentral's name for it is "bacterial SSU rRNA". It matches the Rfam family "Bacterial small subunit ribosomal RNA", at positions 112 to 864 of the family's 1533-position model. Lineage: Bacteria; Pseudomonadati; Pseudomonadota; Betaproteobacteria; Burkholderiales. The record is from RNAcentral.
AAUACAUCGGAACGUACCUUAUCGUGGGGGAUAACGCAGCGAAAGUUGCGCUAAUACCGCAUACGAUCUACGGAUGAAAGCGGGGGACCGGAAGGCCUCGCGCGAUUGGAGCGGCCGACGUCAGAUUAGGUAGUUGGUGGGGUAAGGGCUCACCAAGCCGACGAUCUGUANCUGGUCUGAAAGGACGACCAGCCACACUGGACUGAGACACGGCCCAGACUCCUACGGGAGGCAGCAGUGGGGAAUUUUGGACAAUGGGCGCAAGCCUGAUCCAGCCAUUCCGCGUGCAGGACGAAGGCCUUCGGGUUGUAAACUGCUUUUGUACGGAACGAAAAGGCUCUGGUUAAUACCUGGGGCUCAUGACGGUACCGUAAGAAUAAGCACCGGCUAACUACGUGCCAGCAGCCGCGGUAAUACGUAGGGUGCAAGCGUUAAUCGGAAUUACUGGGCGUAAAGCGUGCGCAGGCGGUGAUGUAAGACAGAUGUGAAAUCCCCGGGCUCAACCUGGGAACUGCAUAUGUGACUGCAUCGCUGGAGUGCGGCAGAGGGGGAUGGAAUUCCGCGUGUAGCAGUGACAUGCGUAGAUAUGCGGAGGAACACCGAUGGCGAAGGCAAUCCCCUGGGCCUGCACUGACGCUCACGCACGAAAGCGUGGGGAGCAAACAGGAUUAGAUACCCUGGUAGUCCACGCCCUAAACGAUGUCAACUGGUUGUUGGGUCUUCACUGACUCAGUAACGAAGCUAACGCGUGAAG